RNAcentral lists this ribosomal RNA (662 nucleotides) under uncultured bacterium. RNAcentral's name for it is "bacterial SSU rRNA". It matches the Rfam family "Bacterial small subunit ribosomal RNA", at positions 788 to 1449 of the family's 1533-position model. The record is from RNAcentral.
UGGUAGUNCACGCCGUAAACGAUGAGUGCUAGGUGUUAGGCCCUUUCCGGGGCUUAGUGCCGGAGCUAACGCAAUAAGCACUCCGCCUGGGGAGUACGACCGCAAGGUUGAAACUCAAAGGAAUUGACGGGGGCCCGCACAAGCGGUGGAGCAUGUGGUUUAAUUCGAAGCAACGCGAAGAACCUUACCAGGUCUUGACAUCCCGAUGCUAUUCUUAGAGAUAGGAAGUUACUUCGGUACAUCGGAGACAGGUGGUGCAUGGUUGUCGUCAGCUCGUGUCGUGAGAUGUUGGGUUAAGUCCCGCAACGAGCGCAACCCUUAUUGUUAGUUGCCAUCAUUAAGUUGGGCACUCUAGCGAGACUGCCGGUAAUAAACCGGAGGAAGGUGGGGAUGACGUCAAAUCAUCAUGCCCCUUAUGACCUGGGCUACACACGUGCUACAAUGGUCGGUACAACGAGUUGCGAGCCGGUGACGGCAAGCUAAUCUCUGAAAGCCGAUCUCAGUUCGGAUUGGAGGCUGCAACUCGCCUCCAUGAAGUCGGAAUCGCUAGUAAUCGCGGAUCAGCACGCCGCGGUGAAUACGUUCCCGGGCCUUGUACACACCGCCCGUCACACCACGAGAGUUUGUAACACCCGAAGUCGGUGAGGUAACCUUUUAGGGGC